GCUUUUCACAAAGUGAUUCAUCCUGGUUUGAUUGGAACGACGAAGAAGCUGUGCUAUUCCCAAACUGGGAAACUGGAAUCACCUGAUUUGAAAGUGGGAUAACUUCUUCAUGCCAACUCCUAUGAGAUUUAUUCAACUUCCUGGUGAUUCUCCACCACUUUUAUGUAUCCAAAUCAAGCUUCUUACAAAGUGAUUCAUCCUGGUUUGUUUGGAACGACGAAGAAGCUGUUCUAUUCCUAAACUGGGAAACUGGAAUCACCUGAUUUGAAAGUGGUGAUUCUCCACCACUUUAUGUAUCCAAAUCAAGUUUCUUACAAAGUGAUUCAUCCUGGUUUGAUUGGAACGACGAAGAAGCUGUGCUAUUCCCAAACUGGGAAACUGGAAUCACCUGAUUUGAAAGUGGGAUAACUUCUUCCUGCCAACUCCUAUGAGAUUUAUUCAACUUCCUGGUGAUUCUCCACCACUUUAUAUAUCCAAAUCAAGCUUCUCACAAAAUGAAUCAUCCUGGUUUGAUUGGAACGACGAAGAAGCUGUGAUAUUCCCAAACUGGGAAGCUGGAAUCACCUGAUUUGAAAGUGGGGUAACUUCUUCUUGCCAACUCCUAUGAGAUUGAUUCAACUUCCUGGUGAUUCUCCACAAAUUUAUGUAUCCAAAUCAAGCUUCUCACAAAGUGAUUCAUCCUGGUUUGAUUGGAACGACGAAGAAGCUGUGCUAUUCCCAAACUGGGAAACUGGAAACACCUGAUUUGAAAGUGGGAUAACAUCUUUAUGCCAACUCCUAUGAGAUUUAUUCAACUUCCUGGUGAUUCUCCACAACUUUAUGUAUCCAAAUCAAGCUUCUCACAAAGUGAUUCAUCCUGGUUUGAUUGGAACGACGAAGAAGCUGUGCUAUUCCCAAACUGGGAAAUUGGAAUCACCUGAUUUGAAAGUGGGAUAACUUCUUCAUGCCAACUCCUAUGAGAUUUAUUCAACUUCCUGGUGAUUCUCUGUUGAGA
RNAcentral lists this long non-coding RNA (994 nucleotides) under Brassica napus (rape). RNAcentral's name for it is "long non-coding RNA (BNAP_LNC018269)". Lineage: Eukaryota; Viridiplantae; Streptophyta; Magnoliopsida; Brassicales; Brassicaceae. The record is from RNAcentral.